AUUGAACGCUGGCGGCAGGCUUAACACAUGCAAGCCGAGCGGGGGAAGGUAGCUUGCUACUGGACCUAGCGGCGGACGGGUGAGUAAUGCUUAGGAAUCUGCCUAUUAGUGGGGGACAACAUCUCGAAAGGGAUGCCAAUACCGCAUAAGUCCUACGGGAGAAAGCAGGGGAUCUUCGGAACUUGCGCUAAAAGAUGAGCCUAAGUCGGAUUAGCUAGUUGGUGGGGUAAAGGCCUACCAAGGCGACGAACUGUAGCGGGUCUGAGAGGAUGAUCCGCCACACUGGGACUGAGACACGGCCCAGACUCCUACGGGAGGCAGCAGUGGGGAAUAUUGGACAAUGGGGGGAACCCUGAUCCAGCCAUGCCGCGUGUGUGAAGAAGGCCUUAUGGUUGUAAAGCACUUUAAGCGAGGAGGAGGCUACUCUAGUUAAUACCUAGGGAUAGUGGACGUUACUCGCAGAAUAAGCACCGGCUAACUCUGUGCCAGCAGCCGCCGUAA
Molecule: ribosomal RNA, 501 nt
Filed under: uncultured bacterium
Lineage: Bacteria
Description: partial 16S ribosomal RNA
Rfam family: Bacterial small subunit ribosomal RNA
Source: RNAcentral